This 337-nucleotide small nuclear RNA is filed under the name Anolis carolinensis (green anole). Its description in RNAcentral is "7SK RNA". It matches the Rfam family "7SK RNA". Rfam says of the family: 7SK was discovered as an abundant small nuclear RNA in the mid-70s but a possible function has only recently been suggested. The record is from Rfam by way of RNAcentral. Lineage: Eukaryota; Metazoa; Chordata; Lepidosauria; Squamata; Anolidae.
UUAUGUGAGGGUGAUCUGGCUGCAACAUCUGUCACCCAUUGAUUGCCAGGGCUGAUCUGGCUGGCUAGGCAGGUGUUCCCUUCCUCCCUCACCACUUCAUGUGCGUCCCUCCUGAAGCUACGCACUUGGUGGAAAAUGAUGACAUCCCAGGUAUAAAAGGAAUGUGUCGAGGUCUCUAGUCUUCAGUCCCGGGUAUACGAUAGCUGCGCUCCCUUGCUAGAACCUCCAAACAAGCUCAAGGUCCAUUUGUAGAAGACAAAUUAUCAGGGAAAUGGGCAACCACCAUGAUACUUUUGUUUCGUUUUGUAUUUUGGAACUUUUCUAAAUAAUUAUUUUU